ACUAGAGGUAAGUUUCAUCUUUUAAGGCAUAUUUAUUGUCCAAAAUAAAGUCAUGAGAAUGAUAUUCAGCAGUUAUACAUUAACUUUAUUUAAAUCUGAAUUCAUAAGAAUUGCAUUCAGCUGUGUAUAGAUUCACAGUUUUUUUUUUUUUUUUGAGAUAGCAAUUGAGUGCUCAUGCAAACAGACAUCCACAGUUGGUUUGCGUUCUACUCGUGGGCCUCUAUGAAGUCACAUACAAAGAUGGCAAAGGGUUGUGCAAGAACUGUUGAUGGUCGGGCAACCUGUCGAGGAACCUGCGCCAUUAUCACAAGGUUAACUCUUAUCCUCAGUCUACAUGUCACCUUCUUUGAUUGCUUUUAGGCUAUGAAAUAAUGCAUUGUGGAUUCAGACCUUCUUCACUCGUUUCAAUGUUGUUGUCACGGCAACAGUUCAGGUAAAUGGGAGGCAUGUAAGCUAAAUUUCAAGUGAUGUGAAUGUAGAUUACAGAAGUAGUAGCUUUAACCGAUGACCAGGAAAUUAUUUUCAAUCUAACAAUGAACUUUUUGAAUACAUUACAGUGCAACAAGGAACAUAUAGGCCUGGCUGCUGCUCUUCAGUACGCACGACAGCAACGACACUGCCUUCAAAAUAAAAGCACUUCUAAUCAUAUCAUUCAUAAUGACAAAUCAACUUGGAAGCAAAUAAUGUUCCAGCCUAAGCGCUUUACAGUGAAUGUAUUUGUUAUUUAUUAUUCAUCCAUCAGUUGCUUGAGCAUCUUGGACUUCACCGUAUUUAAGGACCCUACCCUACAACAAAUAAAUGCUCAUCCAUUGUUAUUUGUCUUUAUUUCUUCAUUUCAGCACAAAGUCAACACACAGAUGCUAAGGGGGAAGAACCCAACAGAAGACUAAAAAAGAAGGACAAAGGGCCCAGCAGAAAAAAGAACACGAAGAAACAUUCUGUAUCUCUGGAAAGUGCCAGGAGAGCAAAAAAGCAUCUUUGGUCUCCCAUGGAGGUUGCCGCAGUCAUGAGACAUUUUGGCCAACACAUCAAAAAAGGGAAACUGGCCACUAUGAUUGAAUGCCAGCAAUGCAAGAAGGCUGAAAAUCUUGCUCUGGCUGGUCGCUCUAUCCAAAACAUAAGAGAUUUUGUAAGGAAUCGGGGCGUAACUUUGAAAAGAAAAGAAAAUCCUGGAUAGAUACAACACCCUGCAGCAGAGCUGAAACAUAUCCAACAUCACAUCCUACAUCACACCCAACAUCACAUCCAACAUCCCAUCCAUGACAUCUAACACCAUACAGCUACAGUACAUCACAUCCAACAUCACAUCUAACACCAUACAGCUACAGUACUUCACAUCCAACAUCACAUCUAACACCAUACAGCUACAGUACAUCCCAUCCAACAUCACAUCUAACACCACACAGCUACAGUACAUCCCAUCCAACACCACAUCUAACACCACACUGCUACAGUACAUCCCAUCCAACAUCACAUCUAACACCACACAGCUACAGUACAUCACAUCCAACAUCACAUCUAACACCAUACAGCUACAGUACAUCACAUCCAACAUCACAUCUAACACCACAUCCAACACCAGGCCUGUUGUAACUGGAACACUGUUAGACAUGCAUUGGUCUAGUAGACAUGCAUAAUUUCAUUUUGACAUUUAUAAAUGUUUUCCUUUCUGUUCACAAAUACAUUUCUGUUGCUCUGAUAUGUGGUCAAGGCGCUGUAAAAUCCAGUCUACUUCUUUCUGUUUAGUCAUAUUCCAUUUAUCCAUGUUUGGCCUUUUUAAUACACAUAAACUUCACGUUUGUGUAUGUGUAUGGCUAUGGUCCUGAUAAAAAAGUUGGUCCUGGCAAUUACUGUUUGUGUCAUGGGCGGAGCUAAGUACCUCAUUAUCUUGUGUCCUCUUAAUACAGCAUUCCGUCAGGUUCUUGUAUCUUGAGUUCUGAUGUGUGUAUCUAACUUUUGAAGUGAGAUUUGUGCUGUAUGGCUCAAAUAAAAUUUUUGAAGAUUCA
Long non-coding RNA from Hypomesus transpacificus, 2006 nucleotides. RefSeq lists it as uncharacterized. NCBI's taxonomy places the organism in Eukaryota, Metazoa, Chordata, Actinopteri, Osmeriformes, Osmeridae. The record is from RefSeq and is a predicted model, not a curated record. The transcript is spliced from 3 exons.